This 254-nucleotide ribosomal RNA is filed under the name uncultured prokaryote. RNAcentral describes it as "partial 16S ribosomal RNA". It matches the Rfam family "Bacterial small subunit ribosomal RNA", at positions 524 to 777 of the family's 1533-position model. The record is from RNAcentral.
UACGGAGGAUGCAAGCGUUAUCCGGAUUUAUUGGGUUUAAAGGGUGCGCAGGUUGUUUGAUAAGUCAGUGGUGAAAGUCUGUCGCUUAACGGUAGGAUUGCCAUUGAUACUGUUGGACUUGAAUAUGGAUGAGGUAGGCGGAAUGUGUAGUGUAGCGGUGAAAUGCAUAGAUAUUACACAGAACACCGAUUGCGAAGGCAGCUUACUAAUCCAUCAUUGACGCUUAGGCACGAAAGCGUGGGGAUCAAACAGGA